AAGGACUGUGCUCCCAAUCCGCUUAUGCUCAAGGAAGAACUGGCCCAGAACCAGCCUGAUGUCAGGAUCAGAACAAAAGAGGAGGACUGCAUAUGUAUGGACCCACUCCAGAUGGCACGGGGACGGGGGGGAGUAGGAAAAGUGGCAUGGGUUACUCAGGCUGAAAUGCUCAAGACACUCUGUCUCAAGGGAUUUGUGGCUGGUUCAUCCUCAAGUAUAGGGGGAAUAGUGGCCAGGAAGAUCUCAGAGGUGGCUUCUGGAAGAGGAACCUGGGUACUGGCUACCCUGCCUUGUGUCCCAUCAUUGGUCUGUCUUGCCUGCCUUGGAGCACAUUUCUCACCAAGCCCCCUGCUGAAAUCAUGGAGUAAAAAAGAGACACGGGGAAUGGAGGACCCAGAGAGAAAGCAGUGUGAUCACAGGCACACGGGACAGCAGCCCAGCUUCCCGUCCUUGCUGGCUUUUGCAUAAAUACUUCUAAGGGGCCAGGCGUGGUGACUCACGCUUGUAAUUCCAAGCACUUUGGCAGGCUGAGGCAGGUGGAUCACCUGAAGCCAGGAGUUCAAGAGCAGCCUGGCCAACAUGGCAAAACCCUGUCUAUACUAAAAAUACAAAAAUUAGCCAGGCAUGGUGGCGGGAGCCUGUAAUCUCAGCUCCUAGGGAGGCUGAGCCAGGAGAAUCGCUUAAACCUGGAAGCUGGAGGUUGCAGUGAGCCAAGAUCACACCACCACACUCCAGCCUGGGUGACAGAGCAAGACUCCAUCUCAAAAAGAAAAAAAAAAAAAAAA
RNAcentral lists this non-coding RNA (785 nucleotides) under Pongo abelii (Sumatran orangutan). Lineage: Eukaryota; Metazoa; Chordata; Mammalia; Primates; Hominidae. The record is from RNAcentral.